Molecule: ribosomal RNA, 419 nt
Filed under: uncultured crenarchaeote
Lineage: Archaea; Thermoproteati; Thermoproteota
Description: partial 16S ribosomal RNA
Source: RNAcentral
UACCGCGGCGGCUGGCACCAGACUUGCCCACCCCUUAUUCUACACCAUUUUUAGAGAUGUCAAAAGACUUUCUUAGCGAAAGUCACUCAGAAUAACCCUGUCAGGCUUUCGCCUAUUGCAGAGGUUUCGCGCCUGCUGCGCCCCAUAGGGCCUGGGUCCUUUUCUCAGUACCCAUCUCCGGGCUCCUCCUCUCAGAGCCCGUACCGGUUACUGGUUUGGUGGGCCAUUACCUCACCAACAGCCUGAUCGGUCGCAGUCCAAUCCAAAGGCCAUAUAGAUUUUGAUCAAAAACCAUUCCAGGUAUCUUGGUCUAUCGCGGUUUAGCCUCAGUUUCCCGAGUUUAUCCACGUCCUCUGGUUAUGUUGACUACGUGUUACUGAGCCGUGUGCCACGUAUUGCUACGUUGACUCGCAUGGCUA